AGAGGGAGGGGGAUAGAUAGGCAGAGUGCCAGCUGCAUUAUAGUACAGCUACUGACCCUGAAUCCUCCUGCCAACCUAGAAUGCUGUAGUAUCUGCUGUGGUAUGGCCAUGUAAUCAAGUUUUCAGCAGAGGAAGGACCCUGACUGCACAGCUGAUCAAAUGGGCCAUCAAUCAAGUGAUUCACAUUGUGUACUUAAGCUUAAAGUGAGGUUAUAAUUCAUACAACUACCUCCCUCCCUAAGCAGGUGCCUUAAACUUAAGAACUGCAAAAAGUACUAAAGUAGCUGAAAAUUUCCAGUUGCUAAUAAUAAACUUGAGAGCCUCUUCUCCUGACCUCCUCCAAAGAGGCACCUCAUAAAAUCAUAGAAAUUAUUUUGUUUUUUUGGUUGCUGGGGAUUACAGUUUUAUACCCAUGGAAGGAGGACCAUUAAAAGAUUACUGUAGUACAAAAUUUCUGACCAUGCAAAGAGAGGGCAGUGAAUAUGGCUUUAAAAGAGAGGACUAGCUAAAUGUGAAAGACGGUCAUUGUUUCCUUGUAUGACUCUGCACCAACUGAACUCGAUGAGGCUGGCUGGAUUCAAGAUAGAGCUUGAUUCAGUUCCUUAUGAACAGGCUUUUAGUGCCACCUGAGAUGGCUUCAGGUGUCUGAAGGACAUCUGAAAUGAGACAGUACUUUCAUGGGCUGACAACCUUCAAGACCAGCUGCGAGAAGCCAGAGGGGAUAUCCAGGAUAUCUCAAAUGGCACUGUCAUGAUCAGACAUAGCAGAUAUCUAUAGUACAGAUUGCUCAAGGCCAGGAUCUUCCCUUUUGCCUCUGUAAGCAAAACAGUGAAACUUGGUGGAGAAGGUUGGAUGCAAAGUCAGCCACAAACGUGAUCCAAGGACUGGGUAGGCAUGUUAGGAAAGUCUGAGAGGGCUGAGUUUGUUCAACCUUGAUAAAAGAAGGCUCAGAGGAGAUCUUAUUCCCAUGUUCCAGUAUCUAAAUGGUGACUACAAAGAUGAAGACUCUCUUUUACAAGGAGUCACAUGGAAAAGAUAAGGGGUAACAGGCACAAGUUACUCCUGGUGAGAUGCUGAUUGGACAUGAGGGAAAUUUUCCACAAUGAGAGCCAUGAGCCAUUGGAAUAAUCUCCACAGGGAAGUGGUGGAUUCUGGAAUGUUGGACGCUUCUAAGAUGCACCUGGAUGGGGUGCUGGGAGGUCAUGCUUUGCCUAGAAAGGUUGGGCCAGAUGAUCCUUCAGGUCCCUUCCAACCUGGGAUUCUAUGAUUCAUAUCUUUCCUGUACUAUGUUCCGUGCCAAUCCUCCCUCCCACCACCUUUUCUUAUGAAAGCCCCAGGAAUUUAAAUGAAAAUCUACAUGCUUAUAAUUAUAAGCAAUAAUUAUAUUUUUACUUUGCAUA
Pezoporus flaviventris is the source of this 1400-nucleotide long non-coding RNA. RefSeq lists it as uncharacterized. The transcript is spliced from 2 exons. The record is from RefSeq and is a predicted model, not a curated record. Lineage: Eukaryota; Metazoa; Chordata; Aves; Psittaciformes; Psittacidae.